RNAcentral lists this small nuclear RNA (173 nucleotides) under Tupaia belangeri (northern tree shrew). RNAcentral describes it as "U1 spliceosomal RNA (ENSTBEG00000021027.1)". The record is from RNAcentral. Lineage: Eukaryota; Metazoa; Chordata; Mammalia; Scandentia; Tupaiidae.
AGACUUACCUGGCAGGGAGACACCACGACACGACGGUGGUUUUCCCAGGACGAGGCUUAUCCAUUGCACUUCAAGUCCAUAUGACCGGGUUGUUGCAUAAAGAAGAAUGAGAAAACUCUGUCAACUUUACAUUUGCAUCUUUUUUUUAAAAAAAAAAAAUUAUUUUAUUUAAC